Molecule: ribosomal RNA, 635 nt
Filed under: Panthera onca (jaguar)
Lineage: Eukaryota; Metazoa; Chordata; Mammalia; Carnivora; Felidae
Description: partial 16S ribosomal RNA
Source: RNAcentral
GUGUCGAGGCUGUAUUGUCUCUUACUCCCUAUCCGUAAAAUUGACCUUCCGGUGAGGCAGGGGAAUAUGACAAUAAGGGGAAGACCUUAUGAGUUUUAAUUAACCACCCAAAGAGAUUUUGAUAAUAAAGCGAGCGGGAUAACAUCUCUCUACCAUGGCCGAAAUUUGGGUUGACCUCGGAGAAUAAAACAACCUCCGAGUGAUUUAAAUCUAGACUAACUAGUCGAAAGUACUACAUCACUUAUUGAUCCAAAAACUUGAUCAACGGAACAAGUUACCCUAGGGAUAACAGCACAAUCGAGGGCUUUCUGUCUCUUACUUCCWAYSSGKGAAAUKGACCUUCCCGUGAAGAGGCGGGAAUAUGACAAUAAGACGAGAAGACCCUAUGGAGCUUUAAUUAACCGACCCAAAGAGAUCUUGAUAAUCAACCGACAGGGAUAACAUACCUCUACCAUGGGCCGACAAUUUAGGUUGGGGUGACCUCGGAGAAUAAAACAACCUCCGAGUGAUUUAAAUCUAGACUAACUAGUCGAAAGUACUACAUCACUUAUUGAUCCAAAAACUUGAUCAACGGAACAAGUUACCCUAGGGAUAACAGCGCAAUCCUAUUUUAGAGUCCAUAUCGACAAUAGGAU